CCGUACAAGGUCUCCGUAGGUGAACCUGCGGAGGGAUCAUUACACAAUAACCAGGCGGGCUGGACACCCCCCGCUGGGCACUGCUUCACGGCGUGCGCGGCGGGGCCGGCCCUGCUGAAUUAUUCACCCGUGUCUUUUGCGUACUUCUUGUUUCCUGGGUGGGCUCGCCCGCCCUCAGGACCAACCACAAACCUUUUGCAAUAGCAAUCAGCGUCAGUAACAACGUAAUUAAUUACAACUUUCAACAACGGAUCUCUUGGUUCUGGCAUCGAUGAAGAACGCAGCGAAAUGCGAUACGUAGUGUGAAUUGCAGAAUUCAGUGAAUCAUCGAAUCUUUGAACGCACAUUGCGCCCUUUGGUAUUCCAAAGGGCAUGCCUGUUCGAGCGUCAUUUGUACCCUCAAGCUUUGCUUGGUGUUGGGCGUCUUUUGUCUCCAGUUCGCUGGAGACUCGCCUUAAAGUCAUUGGCAGCCGGCCUACUGGUUUCGGAGCGCAGCACAAGUCGCACUCUUCGCCAGCCAAGGUCAGCGUCCAGCAAGCCUUUUUUUCAACCUUUGACCUCGGAUCAGGUAGGGAUACCCGCUGAACUUAAGCAUAUCAAUAAGCGGAGGUAAAAGAAACCAACAGGGAUUGCCCUAGUAACGGCGAGUGAAGCGGCAACAGCUCAAAUUUGAAAUCUGGCUCUUUUAGAGUCCGAGUUGUAAUUUGCAGAGGGCGCUUUGGCUUUGGCAGCGGUCCAAGUUCCUUGGAACAC
Molecule: ribosomal RNA, 753 nt
Filed under: Lewia sp. B7A
Lineage: Eukaryota; Fungi; Ascomycota; Dothideomycetes; Pleosporales; Pleosporaceae
Description: eukaryotic LSU rRNA
Rfam family: 5.8S ribosomal RNA (bases 237-390)
Source: RNAcentral